RNAcentral lists this ribosomal RNA (343 nucleotides) under uncultured bacterium. Its description in RNAcentral is "bacterial SSU rRNA". It matches the Rfam family "Bacterial small subunit ribosomal RNA", at positions 8 to 349 of the family's 1533-position model. The record is from RNAcentral.
AGAGUUUGAUCCUGGCUCAGGAUGAACGCUAGCGACAGGCUUAACACAUGCAAGUCGAGGGGCAGCACAGGUAGCAAUACCGGGUGGCGACCGGCGCACGGGUGAGUAACGCGUAUGCAACUUGCCUAUCAGAGGGGGAUAACCCGGCGAAAGUCGGACUAAUACCGCAUGAAGCAGGGGCCCCGCAUGGGGAUAUUUGCUAAAGAUUCAUCGCUGAUAGAUAGGCAUGCGUUCCAUUAGGCAGUUGGCGGGGUAACGGCCCACAAACCGACGAUGGAUAGGGGUUCCAGAGGAAGGUCCCCCACAUUGGUACUGAGACACGGACCAAACUCCUACGGGAGCA